AUAUAUGAGAAAGUACAGUAACAUCCUUUUCCCCAGGUCAGUAGCCAGGUAGAUGUUAUAGCUGAUUGAAAAAUAAUAUUUCCUACCAAAGGUAUCAAAAGGAAUGAACAUUUUCAUGUUUUCUUUCUUAGAAGUUUUCCAGUUUCUCUACAAAAUCCCCCCAUGUACUUUUGUUAAAAAAUGCGGGAAAAUCAACAAGAUUAAACCAUAUUGUAGAAAAUAUAUAUGAUGUGAAAAUUCAUUUUAUACUGGAAUUUUUUUCUUAUCAGCUCUAGCAAGCACAGGGCAUUUUUAUGAUCCUUGGGGGUUCCAUUGGUAUAAGCCUAUUGUUCCUUAUUUCCUGUCCUAAGCCAUUAUGCACAAUGUUACCUCUUCUUUUGCUGUUGUAUUGUACCCUAGAGUUGGCUGAAUUUCAGGACUGGACUGAGUGAGAGUACAGAACUUGGAGAACUUUGUGAAAACAAGCUACUGUAGCUGACUUGCCAGCUUGGUUACACAUGCUCCAAAGAUGGGUGGAGUCCAGAUUCCUGGCUACUUGAAGAGGCCACAUCCUGUUAGCUGCACAAUCUUCAUGCUAUUGGCCACUGUGAAGAUGAAUGGACUCCUGGGGUGUCUCAGAAUAUUCUUUACCUCUGGAGGAUUCUUGUGUACAAGGGACAGUAUCCAAAAUGCUUUCAGAAUAUAGAAAUCAGUUGGAAAUUUCUUGGGAAAUUUCAUUGAAAAAUGAUGUGUC
Molecule: long non-coding RNA, 733 nt
Organism: Gavialis gangeticus (Gharial)
Lineage: Eukaryota; Metazoa; Chordata; Crocodylia; Gavialidae
Exons: 3
Source: RefSeq, a predicted model, not a curated record